This 73-nucleotide transfer RNA is filed under the name Deltaproteobacteria bacterium. RNAcentral's name for it is "tRNA-Thr". It matches the Rfam family "tRNA". From Rfam's summary of the family: Transfer RNA (tRNA) molecules are approximately 80 nucleotides in length. Their secondary structure includes four short double-helical elements and three loops (D, anti-codon, and T loops). Further hydrogen bonds mediate the characteristic L-shaped molecular structure. tRNAs have two regions of fundamental functional importance: the anti-codon, which is responsible for specific mRNA codon recognition, and the 3' end, to which the tRNAs corresponding amino acid is attached (by aminoacyl-tRNA synthetases). tRNAs cope with the degeneracy of the genetic code in two manners: having more than one tRNA (with a specific anti-codon) for a particular amino acid; and 'wobble' base-pairing, i.e. permitting non-standard base-pairing at the 3rd anti-codon position. The record is from RNAcentral. RNAcentral also lists the same sequence under 2 other names. Lineage: Bacteria; Pseudomonadati; Myxococcota; Myxococcia.
GCCGGAGUAGCUCAGUUGGUAGAGCACUCGAUUUGUAAUCGAGAGCGCAGGGGUUCGAUUCCCCUCUCCGGCU